UGUCUGUGUCUGCCUCGUUUCAAUUUGGGACUGACUGUCGUUGUUCUCGGUGUUGACGGUGGGCGUGGCCUUGCCGGCGGUGAUGACGGCUUUGUCCGUGGCGGCGGCCGCCGCCUGUUGCAGCUGCGCGGUCCUCCCUGCUCCGCACCCCUCGACGCCCUGCUCUCGCGCUCUCCCUCCCGGGCGUGUAGUCUGUCGCUGUGUCGUGCCGCGGUCACCCUCGUCGCCGCCCCUCGUCUACCCACAGGUAAAGCAGGUUAGUAGCACAUAAAUCUUGUGGUAUGUGCAUAUCCCUUUCAUGAUGUAGAGAAGCAAUUUCAACUUAUCUGAUACAUGUUUAGUGAUUCAAGUACAAUUUUUAGUGAUUCAAGUACAAUUUUCAGUUCGGUUCAGCAUGUGUCUUGGGUCUUAUGUGCUAGAUCUGUUUUAAGCUAAGCGUGGGAGUUUGAGUUCAGGUCUGGAUUCCUAUCGCUACUGGUCUCUCUUUCUCCCUCUUUACGGACCUUCUCAGAUAAGGAGAUGAGCUGUUCGAUGACACACUAUUUAUCCUGUCACCCAUAACUUAUUAUGUGGAUUGUCAAAUCUCACUUACUGGAUCAUUUUCAAACUCA
This is a long non-coding RNA of Sorghum bicolor (sorghum), 611 nucleotides long. RefSeq lists it as uncharacterized. The record is from RefSeq and is a predicted model, not a curated record. Lineage: Eukaryota; Viridiplantae; Streptophyta; Magnoliopsida; Poales; Poaceae. The transcript is spliced from 2 exons.